UACGGGGGGGGCAAGCGUUGUUCGGAAUUACUGGGCGUAAAGGGCUCGUAGGUGGCCAACUAAGUCAGACGUGAAAUCCCUCGGCUUAACCGAGGAAUUGCGUCUGAUACUGGAUGGCUUGAAUCCGGGAGAGGGAUGCGGAAUUCCAGGUGUAGCGGUGAAAUGCGUAGAUAUCUGGAGGAACACCGGUGGCGAAGGCGGCAUCCUGGACCGACAUUGACGCUGAGGAGCAAAAGCCAGGGGAGCAAACGGG
RNAcentral lists this ribosomal RNA (253 nucleotides) under uncultured prokaryote. RNAcentral's name for it is "partial 16S ribosomal RNA". It matches the Rfam family "Bacterial small subunit ribosomal RNA", at positions 524 to 776 of the family's 1533-position model. The record is from RNAcentral.